Molecule: ribosomal RNA, 99 nt
Filed under: uncultured bacterium
Lineage: Bacteria
Description: partial 16S ribosomal RNA
Rfam family: Bacterial small subunit ribosomal RNA
Source: RNAcentral
UACACACCGCCCGUCACACCAUGGAAGUUGGCUGCACCAGAAGCCGGUAGUCUAACCGCAAGGGGGACGCCGACCACGGUGUGGUCAAUGACUGGGGUG